This 341-nucleotide ribosomal RNA is filed under the name uncultured Gammaproteobacteria bacterium. RNAcentral describes it as "bacterial SSU rRNA". It matches the Rfam family "Bacterial small subunit ribosomal RNA", at positions 120 to 493 of the family's 1533-position model. The record is from RNAcentral. Lineage: Bacteria; Pseudomonadati; Pseudomonadota; Gammaproteobacteria.
GGGAAUCUACCCAAUAGUGGGGGACAGCCCGGCGAAAGCCGGAUUAAUACCGCAUACGCCCUACGGGGGAAAGGCGCAAGCCGCUAUUGGAUGAGCCCGCGUAAGAUUAGCUAGUUGGUAAGGUAAAGGCUUACCAAGGCGACGAUCUUUAGCUGGUCUGAGAGGAUGGCCAGCCACAUCGGGACUGAGACACGGCCCGGACUCCUACGGGAGGCAGCAGUCGGGAAUAUUGGACAAUGGGCGCAAGCCUGAUCCAGCAAUACCGCGUGUGUGAAGAAGGCCUGCGGGUUGUAAAGCACUUUCAGUUGGGAAGAUAAGGACGUUACCAACAGAAGAAGCAC